This 340-nucleotide ribosomal RNA is filed under the name marine bacterium SIMO-IS154. RNAcentral describes it as "bacterial SSU rRNA". It matches the Rfam family "Bacterial small subunit ribosomal RNA", at positions 45 to 415 of the family's 1533-position model. Lineage: Bacteria; Pseudomonadati; Pseudomonadota; Alphaproteobacteria. The record is from RNAcentral.
UGCCUAACCUGCAAGUCGAACGAACCCUUCGGGGUUAGUGGCGCACGGGUGCGUAACGCGUGGGAACCUGCCUUUAGGUUCGGAAUAACUCAGAGAAAUUUGAGCUAAUACCGGAUGAUGUCUUCGGACCAAAGAUUUAUCGCCUUUAGAUGGGCCCGCGUUAGAUUAGAUAGUUGGUGGGGUAAUGGCCUACCAAGUCGACGAUCUAUAGCUGGUCUGAGAGGAUGAUCAGCCACACUGGGACUGAGACACGGCCCAGACUCCUACGGGAGGCAGCAGUGGGGAAUAUUGGACAAUGGGCGAAAGCCUGAUCCAGCAAUGCCGCGUGAGUGAUGAAGGC